RNAcentral lists this transfer RNA (72 nucleotides) under Ferroacidibacillus organovorans. Its description in RNAcentral is "Acidibacillus ferrooxidans tRNA". It matches the Rfam family "tRNA". From Rfam's summary of the family: Transfer RNA (tRNA) molecules are approximately 80 nucleotides in length. Lineage: Bacteria; Bacillati; Bacillota; Bacilli; Caryophanales; Alicyclobacillaceae. The record is from Rfam by way of RNAcentral.
UGGGGAGUCGCCAAGUGGUAAGGCAACGGACUUUGACUCCGUCAUUCGUAGGUUCGAUCCCUACCUCCCCAG